Molecule: ribosomal RNA, 392 nt
Filed under: uncultured bacterium
Lineage: Bacteria
Description: partial 16S ribosomal RNA
Rfam family: Bacterial small subunit ribosomal RNA
Source: RNAcentral
AUACGGAGGAUCCGAGCGUUAUCCGGAUUUAUUGGGUUUAAAGGGUGCGCAGGCGGCCAUUUAAGUCAGCGGUUAAAUCGUGGGGCUCAACCCCAUUCUGCCGUUGAUACUGGGUGGCUUGAUUGCGGUCGAGGUUGGCGGAAUUCGUUGUGUAGCGGUGAAAUGCAUAGAUAUGACGAAGAACACCGAUUGCGUAGGCAGCUGACCAGACCGCAAAUGACGCUCAUGCGCGAAAGUGCGGGGAUCGAACAGGAUUAGAUACCCUGGUAGUCCGCACAGUAAACGAUGAAUACUUGUUUUCGGCGAUAUAAUGUCGGAGGCAAAGCGAAAGCGAUAAGUAUUCCACCUGGGGAGUACGCCGGCAACGGUGAAACUCAAAGGAAUUGACGGGG